RNAcentral lists this ribosomal RNA (301 nucleotides) under uncultured bacterium. Its description in RNAcentral is "partial 16S ribosomal RNA". It matches the Rfam family "Bacterial small subunit ribosomal RNA", at positions 509 to 807 of the family's 1533-position model. The record is from RNAcentral.
CAGCAGCCGCGGGAAUACAGAGGGUGCGAGCGUUAAUCGGAUUUACUGGGCGUAAAGCGUGCGUAGGCGGCUUUUUAAGUCGGAUGUGAAAUCCCUGAGCUUAACUUGGGAAUUGCAUUCGAUACUGGUUAGCUAGAGUGUGGGAGAGGAUGGUAGAAUUCCAGGUGUAGCGGUGAAAUGCGUAGAGAUCUGGAGGAAUACCGAUGGCGAAGGCAGCCAUCUGGCCUAACACUGACGCUGAGGUACGAAAGCAUGGGGAGCAAACAGGAUUAGAUACCCGGGUAGUCCCUGUCUCUUAUAC